RNAcentral lists this transfer RNA (69 nucleotides) under Salamandra salamandra (fire salamander). RNAcentral describes it as "tRNA-His". It matches the Rfam family "tRNA". Rfam says of the family: Transfer RNA (tRNA) molecules are approximately 80 nucleotides in length. Their secondary structure includes four short double-helical elements and three loops (D, anti-codon, and T loops). Lineage: Eukaryota; Metazoa; Chordata; Amphibia; Caudata; Salamandridae. The record is from RNAcentral.
GUGUGUAUAAUUUAAAUAAAAUAUUAGAUUGUGAUUCUAAAAACGAGAGUUAAACUCUCUCUUCACACC